GCACAAGCGGAGGAGCAUGUGGUUUAAUUCGAUGAUACGCGAGGAACCUUACCUGGGCUCGAACGUAAGAUGACUGUAGGUGAAAAGCUUUACAUCUCUUCGGAGCAUUUUACGAGGUGCUGCAUGGUUGUCGUCAGCUCGUGCCGUGAGGUGUCGGGUUAAGUCCCAUAACGAGCGCAACCCCUACCUUUAGUUGCCAUCAGGUAAUGCUGGGGACUCUAAAGGAACUGCCUACGCAAGUAGUGAGGAAGGCGGGGAUGACGUCAAAUCAGCACGGCCCUUACGUCCAGGGCUACACACGUGCUACAAUGGCCGAUACAGAGGGCAGCUACCUGGUGACAGGAUGCAAAUCUCCAAAGUCGGUCUCAGUUCGGAUCGGAGUCUGCAACCCGACUCCGUGAAGUUGGAUUCGCUAGUAAUCGCGCAUCAGCCAUGGCGCGGUGAAUACGUUCCCGGGCCUU
This 461-nucleotide ribosomal RNA is filed under the name uncultured Sphingobacteriales bacterium. RNAcentral describes it as "bacterial SSU rRNA". It matches the Rfam family "Bacterial small subunit ribosomal RNA", at positions 923 to 1382 of the family's 1533-position model. The record is from RNAcentral. Lineage: Bacteria; Pseudomonadati; Bacteroidota; Sphingobacteriia; Sphingobacteriales.